GACGAACGUUGGCGGCGUGCUUAACACAUGCAAGUCGAACGGAAAGGCCCUGCUUUUGUGGGGUGCUCGAGUGGCGAACGGGUGAGUAACACGUGAGUAACCUGCCCUUGACUUUGGGAUAACUUCAGGAAACCGGGGCUAAUACCGGAUAGGAGCUCCUGCUGCAUGGUGGGGGUUGGAAAGUUUCGGCGGUUGGGGAUGGACUCGCGGCUUAUCAGCUUGUUGGUGGGGUAGUGGCUUACCAAGGCUUUGACGGGUAGCCGGCCUGAGAGGGUGACCGGCCACAUUGGGACUGAGAUACGGCCCAGACUCCUACGGGAGGCAGCAGUGGGGAAUAUUGCACAAUGGGCGGAAGCCUGAUGCAGCAACGCCGCGUGCGGGAUGACGGCCUUCGGGUUGUAAACCGCUUUCGCCUGUGACGAAGCGUGAGUGACGGUAAUGGGUAAAGAAGCACCGGCUAACUACGUGCCAGCAGCCGCGGUGAUACGUAGGGUGCGAGCGUUGUCCGGAUUUAUUGGGCGUAAAGGGCUCGUAGGUGGUUGAUCGCGUCGGAAGUGUAAUCUUGGGGCUUAACCCUGAGCGUGCUUUCGAUACGGGUUGACUUGAGGAAGGUAGGGGAAAAUGGAAUUCCUGGUGGAGCGGUGGAAUGCGCAGAUAUCAGGAGGAACACCAGUGGCGAAGGCGGUUCUCUGGGCCUUUCCUGACGCUGAGGAGCGAAAGCGUGGGGAGCGAACAGGCUUAGAUACCCUGGUAGUCCACGCUGUAAACGGUGGGUACUAGGUGUGGGGUCCAUUCCACGGGUUCCGUGCCGUAGCUAACGCUUUAAGUACCCCGCCUGGGGAGUACGGCCGCAAGGCUAAAACUCAAAGGAAUUGAUGGGGCCCCGCACAAGCGGCGGAGCAUGCGGAUUAAUUCGAUGCAACGCGUAGAACCUUACCUGGGUUUGACAUGGAUCGGGAGCGCUCAGAGAUGGGUGUGCCUCUUUUGGGGUCGGUUCACAGGUGGUGCAUGGCUGUCGUCAGCUCGUGUCGUGAGAUGUUGGGUUAAGUCCCGCAACGAGCGCAACCCUUGUUCACUGUUGCCAGCACGUUAUGGUGGGGACUCAGUGGAGACCGCCGGGGUCAACUCGGAGGAAGGUGGGGAUGACGUCAAGUCAUCAUGCCCCUUAUGUCCAGGGCUUCACGCAUGCUACAAUGGCUGGUACAGAGAGUGGCGAGCCUGCGAGGGUGAGCGAAUCUCGGAAAGCCGGUCUCAGUUCGGAUUGGGGUCUGCGACUCGACCUCAUGAAGUCGGAGUCGCUAGUAAUCGCAGAUCAGCAACGCUGCGGUGAGUACGUUCCCGGG
This 1343-nucleotide ribosomal RNA is filed under the name uncultured bacterium. RNAcentral's name for it is "16S ribosomal RNA". It matches the Rfam family "Bacterial small subunit ribosomal RNA", at positions 28 to 1378 of the family's 1533-position model. The record is from RNAcentral.